UUCCACGUCCGAUUGGGGUGAGUCCGCCAUGCCCGCUUCUUGAUUCUUCCCGAAUUUGCGCGAAUUGGGUUCUUGGAUGCAUCGGAAUUUGACCGCAAAGAUUGCAAAUCGUGUUAAUUUCAUUCUGUUGGGAGAAAUUCUUGGCUCAGAUUCGUAUUUGAUCUCCUGAUCGAUGGUUCUUUGCGACUCAGCUGCACGACGAGUUGCUGUUGCGGGAAAUCACGUACGUGUGGCCGAACGUCGAGGGGGCCCUCGUCAACCAUGACGUGUUCUGCUUCAUGGGGAGGUCCGUGUUCCGGCUGAGGCACGAGCUGGCCCGGCGGCGGCUGGUGGACGUCUCUCAGCUCGCCAUGUGCCUCCCCACACGUUAUGGCCGUUUUUUCCCACUCGUCGUCGACCUGCCCCGCAACCAGGAGGCCCUCAUCGUCGUCGUCGACGUCGCGGGGACGGCUGGUGAGAGGCCCUCAACUUCCUACUCUUUUCCUUUGGCAAGAAACUCAUACUUGCACUCGUCUGGAACUUUUCCGGAUAUUUGCAAUAGUCUGAAAAACAGUUUACUGAAACUGGUGUCGUCUGAAACUUUGGAUAAUCUGUUUCAGUUAGGACCUAUAUAUGACUUGGACAUAGUCUGAACUGCUGUAGUAGGGUUAUAGAAAUCAGUAAAAGUUGUUGAAUCGAAUCAGUAGGUGGGUCAACAGGGACGGCAUUAUGUCUGUUGGAUUUAUGGACCGAUGCUAGUGGAAAGCCCAAAUCAGUAUCAGUUCAGUCUGAACCCAAGUCAUUUUUCGUAAGUACUGAACCUGGAAACAGUUGGUUUUUGAUGCUACUGUGCUUUGAUUCAGAUGAUUUAGUUUUGCAAUUAGAUGCUACUGUGCUAGUGGAAGACUUUGGAACUUGAAAACCCAAAUCAGUUCAGUCUGCUAGUUUCAACUUCACAGAGAAGACAAUGAUGUCUACCCCCUCUGUCCCACAAUAUAAGAUCGUUUUUCAAGUUAACAUAGAUUGAAAAACGUUCUUAUAUUCUGGGACGGAGGGGGUAUUUCUUAGCCUAGCUAGUGUGAUUUGUAUCGUUUAACGUGUGGACAAAAUUCAGGUUGUAUGGCAGAGCACAUUACAUUGUGUUGAGAUUUUCUUAUUUGAACUUGUUGCAGUACCCGUGAGACAUGAUGCCUAACUGCUUAACUAUUUUUCUGCCAAUCCAGGCCACGCGGCACUGCGGUACGCGGAUGUCGAUGCAUGGUAGAGAGAGACCCGUAGAAGCCGCCUUCCUGUCCACCUCUUCAGAGUAUCGCCGCCUCAGUUCUAACUUGUAAGGCAUGGGUUCAGGAAAACCUAGCAGUUGUAGUGUUUGUGCUAGCUAAACUUGGUCGGUUCUGUUCCCCUGACAGAACAUGUUGGUGUUGGCAUUACGGUUCUCAAAUUCAGAAACUGUUUGAACAAUGAGGCUCUGUAAUGGUUGCUCCCUUGUUCGUUGACAGCACUGAAUACUGAUGUGGUGGUUCUUGCAGCGAGUUGGGCCACUUGAGUUUACAGUUUCAAUCGUACAACAGAAAAUAUAGUUGAUAUCCUGUUUGUUGGUUAUGUGCAACAAAAACAUUUGUUGAUAUAGUGUUUAUGUGUCUUUAAAUGUCCAUGUAAGUCAAUAAAUUGUCCACACAUUUCAAAAAAAAAUAUUAGUAUAUUAUUUUUUUGCGAGGUAAAUAUUCAUGUAAUUUUAAGAAUUGUUAGUUC
Molecule: long non-coding RNA, 1731 nt
Filed under: Triticum aestivum (bread wheat)
Lineage: Eukaryota; Viridiplantae; Streptophyta; Magnoliopsida; Poales; Poaceae
Description: long non-coding RNA (TAES_LNC015625)
Rfam family: MIR1120/MIR1122 microRNA precursor family (bases 954-1040)
Source: RNAcentral